This 497-nucleotide ribosomal RNA is filed under the name uncultured bacterium. Its description in RNAcentral is "partial 16S ribosomal RNA". It matches the Rfam family "Bacterial small subunit ribosomal RNA", at positions 28 to 507 of the family's 1533-position model. The record is from RNAcentral.
GAUGAACGCUGGCGGCGUGCCUAAUACAUGCAAGUCGAGCGAACAGAUGAGGAGCUUGCUCCUCUGACGUUAGCGGCGGACGGGUGAGUAACACGUGGAUAACCUACCUAUAAGACUGGGAUAACUUCGGGAAACCGGAGCUAAUACCGGAUAAUAUAUUGAACCGCAUGGUUCAAUAGUGAAAGACGGUUUUGCUUUCACUUAUAGAUGGAUCCGCGCCGCAUUAGCUAGUUGGUAAGGUAACGGCUUACCAAGGCGACGAUGCGUAGCCGACCUGAGAGGGUGAUCGGCCACACUGGAACUGAGACACGGUCCAGACUCCUACGGGAGGCAGCAGUAGGGAAUCUUCCGCAAUGGGCGAAAGCCUGACGGAGCAACGCCGCGUGAGUGAUGAAGGUCUUCGGAUCGUAAAACUCUGUUAUUAGGGAAGAACAAAUGUGUAAGUAACUAUGCACGUCUUGACGGUACCUAAUCAGAAAGCCACGGCUAACUACGUG